UAGAGCCUAUUUUAAGCUCCAAACCACUGUGGAACAUACCCUUGAAGCGUUGUUUCGGGGGGUCUUUCCGAAAGGCGAGGUCCCCCGACGGCGCCAAACUCUUCUAUUUUUUACAGCGGGAUUCAUUUCCCAUCUGAGUACUGUCUUGAAAAAAAAAAUAAGCAA
RNAcentral lists this unclassified non-coding RNA (165 nucleotides) under soil metagenome. RNAcentral's name for it is "partial internal transcribed spacer 1". The record is from RNAcentral.